UAGGGAAUCCUCCGCAAUGGACGAAAGUCUGACGGAGCAACGCCGCGUGAGUGAUGAAGGCUUUCGGGUCGUAAAACUCUGUUGUUAGAGAAGAACAAGUACGAGAGUAACUGCUCGCACCUUGACGGUACCUAACCAGAAAGCCCCGGCUAACUACGUG
RNAcentral lists this ribosomal RNA (160 nucleotides) under uncultured bacterium. RNAcentral describes it as "partial 16S ribosomal RNA". It matches the Rfam family "Bacterial small subunit ribosomal RNA", at positions 355 to 507 of the family's 1533-position model. The record is from RNAcentral.